Molecule: ribosomal RNA, 185 nt
Filed under: uncultured bacterium
Lineage: Bacteria
Description: partial 16S ribosomal RNA
Rfam family: Bacterial small subunit ribosomal RNA
Source: RNAcentral
GCAUGAGACUACAGAGCUGCAUGGCUCAGUGGUCAAAGGAGCAAUCCGCUGAAAGAUGGACUCGCGUCCGAUUAGAUAGUAGGCGGGUAACGGCCCACCUAGUCGACGAUCGGUAGCCGGACUGAGAGGUUGAACGGCCACAUUGGGACUGAGACACGGCCCAGACUCCUACGGGAGGCAGCAUG